AGUGAACGCUGGCGGUAGGCCUAACACAUGCAGGUCGAACGGCAGCACAGUAAGAGCUUGCUCUUACGGGUGGCGAGUGGCGGACGGGUGAGGAAUACAUCGGAAUCUACUUUUUCGUGGGGGAUCACGUAGGGAAACUUACGCUAAUACCGCAUACGACCUACGGGUGAAAGCAGGGGAUCUUCGGACCUUGCGCGAUUGAAUGAGCCGAUGUCGGAUUAGCUAGUUGGCGGGGUAAAGGCCCACCAAGGCGACGAUCCGUAGCUGGUCUGAGAGGAUGAUCAGCCACACUGGAACUGAGACACGGUCCAGACUCCUACGGGAGGCAGCAGUGGGGAAUAUUGGACAAUGGGCGCAAGCCUGAUCCAGCCAUACCGCGUGGGUGAAGAAGGCCUUCGGGUUGUAAAGACCUUUUGUUGGGAAAGAAAAGCAGCAGGUUAAUACCCCGCUGUUCUGACGGUACCCAAAGAAUAAGCACCGGCUAACUUCGUG
This 492-nucleotide ribosomal RNA is filed under the name uncultured bacterium. Its description in RNAcentral is "partial 16S ribosomal RNA". It matches the Rfam family "Bacterial small subunit ribosomal RNA", at positions 29 to 507 of the family's 1533-position model. The record is from RNAcentral.